Molecule: ribosomal RNA, 492 nt
Filed under: uncultured bacterium
Lineage: Bacteria
Description: partial 16S ribosomal RNA
Rfam family: Bacterial small subunit ribosomal RNA
Source: RNAcentral
AGUGAACGCUGGCGGUAGGCCUAACACAUGCAAGUCGAACGGCAGCACAGUAAGAGCUUGCUCUUACGGGUGGCGAGUGGCGGACGGGUGAGGAAUACAUCGGAAUCUACUUUUUCGUGGGGGAUAACGUAGGGAAACUUACGCUAAUACCGCAUACGACCUACGGGUGAAAGCAGGGGAUCUUCGGACCUUGCGCGAUUGAAUGAGCCGAUGUCGGAUUAGCUAGUUGGCGGGGUAAAGGCCCCCCAAGGCGACGAUCCGUAGCUGGUCUGAGAGGAUGAUCAGCCACACUGGAACUGAGACACGGUCCAGACUCCUACGGGAGGCAGCAGUGGGGAAUAUUGGACAAUGGGCGCAAGCCUGAUCCAGCCAUACCGCGUGGGUGAAGAAGGCCUUCGGGUUGUAAAGCCCCUUUGUUGGGAAAGAAAAGCAGCAGGUUAAUACCCCGCUGUUCUGACGGUACCCAAAGAAUAAGCACCGGCUAACUUCGUG